GAGUUUGAUCCUGGCUCAGGACGAACGCUGGCGGCGUGCUUAACACAUGCAAGUUGAACGGGUCAUAUGUGAAGGGUAACCGGAAUAUAUGGCUAGUGGCGAACGGGUGAGUAAUACAUGAGGACGUAUCCUCGAGAGGGGGACAACAUUGGGAAACCGAUGCUAAUACCCCAUAAGCCGAGAGGUAAAAGGGAGCGAUCCGCUUGAGGAGCGGCUCAUGUCCUAUCAGCUAGUUGGUGAGGUAACGGCUCACCAAGGCGAAGACGGGUAGCCGGCCUGAGAGGGUGACCGGCCACACUGGAACUGAGAGACGGUCCAGACUCCUACGGGAGGCAGCAGUGGGGAAUAUUGGGCAAUGGGGGCAACCCUGACCCAGCGACGCCGCGUGAGGGAAGAAGGCCUUAGGGUCGUAAACCUCUGUUGUGUGGGAAGAAGGAAGUGACGGUACCACACGAGGAAGUCCCGGCUAACUACGUGCCAGCAGCCGCGGUAAUACGUAGGGGACGAGCGUUGUCCGGAAUUACUGGGCGUAAAGGGCGCGUAGGCGGUCAUUUAAGUCAGCUGUGAAAUGGUCCGGCUCAACCGGAUCAUGCGGUUGAAACUGGAUGACUGGAGUGCUGGAGAGGCAAGUGGAAUUCCCAGUGUAGCGGUGAAAUGCGUAGAUAUUGGGAAGAACACCGGUGGCGAAGGCGACUUGCUGGCCAGCAACUGACGCUGAGGCGCGAAAGCCAGGGGAGCAAACGGGAUUAGAUACCCCGGUAGUCCUGGGCGUAAACGAUGAAUGCUANGUGUGGGCAUCGAGAGGUGUCCGUGCCGGAGCUAACGCGAUAAGCAUUCCGCCUGGGGAGUACGAU
This 854-nucleotide ribosomal RNA is filed under the name uncultured bacterium. RNAcentral describes it as "bacterial SSU rRNA". It matches the Rfam family "Bacterial small subunit ribosomal RNA", at positions 9 to 886 of the family's 1533-position model. The record is from RNAcentral.